Molecule: ribosomal RNA, 775 nt
Filed under: uncultured Neocallimastigales
Lineage: Eukaryota; Fungi; Neocallimastigomycota; Neocallimastigomycetes; Neocallimastigales
Description: partial large subunit ribosomal RNA
Rfam family: Eukaryotic large subunit ribosomal RNA
Source: RNAcentral
AGAGAGAGACAUGCGCGCAUAUCAAUAAGCGGAGGAAAAGAAACUAACAAGGAUUCCCUUAGUAACGGCGAGUGAAGCGGGAAGAGCUCAAAUUUGAAAUCUUCAAGGUUUUACCUUGACGAAUUGUAGUUUAAAGAAGUGUUUUCUGCUGAAGUUUUGGUAAAAGUUCUUUGGAAUAGGACAUCAUAGAGGGUGAGAAUCCCGUAUUUGACCAUUAUUUUCAGCUUUGUGAUACACUUUCAAAGAGUCGGAUUGUUUGGGAAUGCAGUCCAAAAUGGGUGGUAAAUUUCAUCUAAAGCUAAAUAUUGGCGAGAGACCGAUAGCGAACAAGUACCGUGAGGGAAAGAUGAAAAGAACUUUGAAAAGAGAGUUAAACAGUACGUGAAAUUGUCAAAAGGGAAGCGUUUGACACCAGUGUUGUUUUCUCGAAAAUCAAUUAAAAAUGGCUCGAUUUUGUAUUGUUGAGACCUUAAAAGCUCACUGUACAUUUUUCGUGUCUUUUUUAAUGCACUUUUCGUUUAACAAGUCAACAUCAGUUUCUUUUGUUGUAAAAGGGUCAUUGGAAGGUGGCUUUCUUUUCGGAGAAAGUGUUUAUAGCCUUUGGCCUCUGCAAUCGGAGAGGACUGAGGUAUGCAGCGUAGACUCUUCGGGGUUAGAUACAUUUGUGCUAAGUUAUAGCUUUUUAUAGACAACUUGUUGACUAUAAUUAGUCUUGUAGCUUACUCGCUUAUGCUAUUUUACCUACGCUUAGGAUGUUGAGUCGUAGAGCACGCAG